GCCCCGAGGGACAGCCCCGAGGGACAGCCCCGAGGGACACCUGGUGUGCGGGGAGCAGCUCCUCUGCGGGGCUCCGCCGCUGCGGGGGUACCUACACGGGAGCACCUCCGCGCCAGAGCGGGGCUGGCUCCGCUCCCGGCCCGGGCUGCGGCCCCUUGAACAGUCCGGCGGCCUUUAGUGGCUCUUCUUACCCCCCUACAGUUUAAUUAAAAAGCAACGGCCCAGUUUUGGCCGUCGGGCCCAGCUAGGAAUUAAAAAUAAAACAGUGCACGGCCGAGCCGCAGCCCAGGCCCGCCCGUGGUCCCAGGUGUCCGCUUGCCCGUCCCCUGCACGCUGGGGCUGAGGUCCGAGUUGAGGUAAAUGAGCCCCGUUCACCUGGCACAAGGGAUUCCACUUCUUCAGGUAGCAUUAAAAAACUGCACAGACUCCAGAAAGGAAAUGAAUUUUUUUCUUUUAAUAUUGAACUUGUAAUUGUUCCUAUUUUUCCUCCUUAUUUGAUGACAGUGAACCAAAGCGACUGACAGCCUUUGUGCGACUCUUGGAGGGCGACCGCAGUGCGGCGAGGAGGAGUAAGAUUUCUGAAGGCAGAAUGGUGAAGAUGAAAGCGAGCCUCAGAACUAACAUGUGUGCUUUAUUUUUUAAAGAUGGAACAGAGAGGAGGCACAAUUACCCCAGAUUUAAAAGAUCUUUGUUCAAGCCCUGACCUACUGAAGGUUCCCAUACCUCAGCUUCUCCUCCCUGUCUUAAAGCCAGGUGCCUCAGAUUCCCUGAAGGGAAAGUGGCAAAUUACUGACGGCUGAGCCUUGGAGACACGGCACAAGGGAACCGCCAGCUCUGGCAUUCAUAAGCUGACCAGCCCUUACCAUGCAGAAGGUUUCCAGGAGCUGAACAGUGCAGCCAUGAUCUCAGGCAGCAAGAAUGAGAAAUCUUGUAAUCUUCCUGAAGGGCCUCACAUACUGAGCACUGCUAAAUAUUUGGCAAGAUAAAUGACAGAGCUG
Prinia subflava (tawny-flanked prinia) is the source of this 998-nucleotide long non-coding RNA. RefSeq lists it as uncharacterized. NCBI's taxonomy places the organism in Eukaryota, Metazoa, Chordata, Aves, Passeriformes, Cisticolidae. The record is from RefSeq and is a predicted model, not a curated record. The transcript has 3 exons.